Molecule: ribosomal RNA, 582 nt
Filed under: Talaromyces purpureogenus
Lineage: Eukaryota; Fungi; Ascomycota; Eurotiomycetes; Eurotiales; Trichocomaceae
Description: LSU rRNA
Rfam family: Eukaryotic large subunit ribosomal RNA
Source: RNAcentral
CAACAGGGAUUGCCUCAGUAACGGCGAGUGAAGCGGCAAGAGCUCAAAUUUGAAAUCUGGCCCCCUCGGGGUCCGAGUUGUAAUUUGCAGAGGAUGCUUCGGGUGCGGUCCCCAUCUAAGUGCCCUGGAACGGGCCGUCAUAGAGGGUGAGAAUCCCGUCUGGGAUGGGCGGCCGCGCCCGUGUGAAGCUCCUUCGACGAGUCGAGUUGUUUGGGAAUGCAGCUCUAAGCGGGUGGUAAAUUUCAUCUAAAGCUAAAUACUGGCCGGAGACCGAUAGCGCACAAGUAGAGUGAUCGAAAGAUGAAAAGCACUUUGAAAAGAGAGUUAAACAGCACGUGAAAUUGUUGAAAGGGAAGCGUUGUCCACCAGACUCGCCCGGGGGGGUUCAGCCGGCACGUGUGCCGGUGUACUCCUCUCCGGGCGGGCCAGCAUCGGUUUGGGCGGCUGGUGAAAGGCCCCGGGAAUGUACCACCCUCCGGGGUGUCUUAUAGCCCGGGGUGCCAUACAGCCAGCCUGGACCGAGGCCCGCGCUUCGGCGAGGAUGCUGGCGUAAUGGUGGUCAACGGCCCGUCUUGAAACACG